CCCUACUGAACUGGCCUGCAUUGUACAAAAGACUACAGACUCACUUUGAGACACAAUUUUAAGUUCAGAGAAGCACUUACUUCAUGAGUAGACUUUACAGAAUAAGGCAUCCAUCUUCCUGCAGAGGAAAUAAAAAGCACUAGUGGAAAGAACAGUAUGACCUACAAGCAAAAGGACUACCCUUGCUUUAAUUAAGAAGGAGCAGAAAGCAAUUUCUUCCUCAUUCUUAUUCAACCACAUUGAAAUGUUACCCAUGUACUGUCAUUUUUUAAACUCCUAAUGGCAUAGAGCUAACAUCUUUGAAAGAUUUACUUUUGUUUUGAAAAUAAAAAUCCAUGUAGAAGGCAGAGAGGAUGAAUAUCUGCAUGGGGACAGUGUAAAUCAAGAUUGUGUUGGCUGCAUUUGAUAGCUUGCCUUGAUGCCUUCUAACCCACCAAGCUUUGUUGCUAGGCAACCAUGGCAGCUUUUCUGAAUAUAGUUAUUAACAGGUUUAGGUUGCACUGAAAAAGAAAAAGAAAACAA
This is a long non-coding RNA of Phodopus roborovskii (desert hamster), 522 nucleotides long. RefSeq lists it as uncharacterized. Lineage: Eukaryota; Metazoa; Chordata; Mammalia; Rodentia; Cricetidae. The record is from RefSeq and is a predicted model, not a curated record. The transcript is spliced from 2 exons.